This 86-nucleotide small nucleolar RNA is filed under the name Zea mays. RNAcentral describes it as "Small nucleolar RNA snoR20a". It matches the Rfam family "Small nucleolar RNA snoR20a". From Rfam's summary of the family: The O.sativum sequence was obtained from the plant snoRNA database. The record is from Rfam by way of RNAcentral. Lineage: Eukaryota; Viridiplantae; Streptophyta; Magnoliopsida; Poales; Poaceae.
GCCUAUGAUGACAUGAUUGUUUCAGAAGAAGCAAAUUUUUUGUCUAAUCUUGUUGAUAUUUAUCAUGAACUAGGACGGUCUGAGGC